This 465-nucleotide ribosomal RNA is filed under the name Vreelandella stevensii. Its description in RNAcentral is "partial 16S ribosomal RNA". It matches the Rfam family "Bacterial small subunit ribosomal RNA", at positions 338 to 795 of the family's 1533-position model. Lineage: Bacteria; Pseudomonadati; Pseudomonadota; Gammaproteobacteria; Oceanospirillales; Halomonadaceae. The record is from RNAcentral.
CCUACGGGAGGCUGCAGUGGGGAAUAUUGGACAAUGGGGGCAACCCUGAUCCAGCCAUGCCGCGUGUGUGAAGAAGGCCCUCGGGUUGUAAAGCACUUUCAGUGAGGAAGAACGCCUGGUGGUUAAUACCCAUCAGGAAAGACAUCACUCACAGAAGAAGCACCGGCUAACUCCGUGCCAGCAGCCGCGGUAAUACGGAGGGUGCGAGCGUUAAUCGGAAUUACUGGGCGUAAAGCGCGCGUAGGUGGCUUGAUAAGCCGGUUGUGAAAGCCCCGGGCUCAACCUGGGAACGGCAUCCGGAACUGUCAAGCUAGAGUGCAGGAGAGGAAGGUAGAAUUGCCGGUGUAGCGGUGAAAUGCGUAGAGAUCGGGAGGAAUACCAGUGGCGAAGGAGGCCUUCUGGACUGACACUGACACUGAGGUGCGAAAGCGUGGGUAGCAAACAGGAUUAGAUACCCGUGUAGUC